RNAcentral lists this long non-coding RNA (1245 nucleotides) under Trifolium pratense (red clover). Its description in RNAcentral is "long non-coding RNA (TPRA_LNC005279)". The record is from RNAcentral. Lineage: Eukaryota; Viridiplantae; Streptophyta; Magnoliopsida; Fabales; Fabaceae.
AGUAUCUCUUUGUUUCUUAAACCAAUGCAAUAGUCUCAUCGUCAUAGAAGUAAAAGUCUACUGCUAUUCACAAGUUAGAGUUGGAGUGUAACUGCGUAAUUAUCUCUUUGUUUUCUUAGACCAAUGCAAUAGUCCCAUCAUCGUAGAAGUAGAAGUCUCCUGUUAUUCACAAUUGGCCAGUGUACAAUAUGUUAUGUUAAAACCCAAAAAUAACCUUCAAAGACCCAUUGUGCAGAUUCAAAUUUUUGUUGUUUUAAAGCUAAACUUGCAUAUCCAACUGCCGAAAGACUUAUAAUAAUUACAAAGUAAACUUUUAACAUUGAAAAAAAAUGUAAACAUGACAUUUUCAUGAAAUAGGUCCUUAACUACAAUGAAAAAUAUACAUGAAAAGAGGUUAGUUGUUGGGUUAAACUUGCAAAUGCAGAUGCUCAUAUACUUACAAAAAGUUAACUUUUACUUUGAAAAAAAUAUAAACAUGAAAAAGGGGGUUCAUUAUAUGUCCAUCUUUUAAAAACAAAGGUCUAAUCUUCAAAUCUAAAAUCCAACUCAGAUUUUAAACAAAAUGAAAGACUACUCAUACCAAAAAUGAAGAUGUAGAUGAAGCUUUGAUCUUUGGCCUCCAUUUCGGCUAGNNAUCGAAAUAAAACAACAUAACAUUUAUGAGAAUCCACUACAACAAUUUAUCAAACACAUAAUGUGCGUAUGUAAAACUGAAAUAGAACAACAUAAAAUUAAAAGAGGCAUAAAUUCAACUCAACAAAGAAACAAAGCAAAAAAAUAAAAGUAAUAAACUAAAGAAAAAAUAUAUGAUAGUAUUAAGAAUAUUUUACCGUGAAUAGAUGAAGAAUGUGAAAACAAAGAAGAAACUCCAAUUGUCAUAUGGUCCAGAUUUCAUAGAGAUGAUUUUAGAGAAAAGAUCCAUUCAUCACUAACCCGUGUAGUUCUUCUUCUUCCUCCUCCUGUGCAUUCUUCUUCUACGGUGAGAUUUAGAAAAUAAAGAAGAAUAAACCAUAAAUUUCACAGCAGAGAGAUAGAGAUAGAUAUGAUUAUAAGGAAAUUACUAACCGGUUCUCAGAUGGAUCUUCUUCUUUCUACCGUCUCCCGUCGCUGUUCUUGGCUUUCUCCGUGUCAUUUGAAUAUUUUGAAUAUGGAAAGGCGUAAGAGAGAGAAGAAGAAGAGAUGGAGAAUGAGAAGUGAGAAGAAAGAGAGAAAUGUGUACAGGGUACAGACCAAAGACAGAGAAAA